This is a non-coding RNA of Rattus norvegicus (Norway rat), 69 nucleotides long. Lineage: Eukaryota; Metazoa; Chordata; Mammalia; Rodentia; Muridae. The record is from Rfam.
GGGGAUUUAGCUCAGUGGUAGAGCGCUUGCCUAGCAAGCGCGAGGCCCUGGGUUCGGUCCCCGGCUCCG